RNAcentral lists this ribosomal RNA (448 nucleotides) under uncultured bacterium. RNAcentral describes it as "bacterial SSU rRNA". It matches the Rfam family "Bacterial small subunit ribosomal RNA", at positions 29 to 524 of the family's 1533-position model. The record is from RNAcentral.
AACGAACGCUGGCGGCAGGCCUAACACAUGCAAGUCGAACGGCCCUUCGGGGUAGUGGCGGACGGGUGAGUAACGCGUGGGAAUGUGCCCUUUGGUACGGAACAACUGAGGGAAACUUCAGCUAAUACCGUAUGUGCCCUUCGGGGAAAGAUUUAUCGCCAUUGGAGCAGCCCGCGUUGGAUUAGGUAGUUGGUGGGGUAAAGGCCUACCAAGCCUACGAUCCAUAGCUGGUCUGAGAGGAUGAUCAGCCACAUUGGGACUGAGACACGGCCCAAACUCCUACGGGAGGCAGCAGUGGGGAAUCUUGCGCAAUGGGCGAAAGCCUGACGCAGCCAUGCCGCGUGUAUGAUGAAGGUCUUAGGAUUGUAAAAAUACUUUCACCGGGGAAGAUAAUGACGGUACCCGGAGAAGAAGCCCCGGCUAACUUCGUGCCAGCAGCCGCGGUAAU